This is a long non-coding RNA of Salarias fasciatus (jewelled blenny), 767 nucleotides long. RefSeq lists it as uncharacterized. The record is from RefSeq and is a predicted model, not a curated record. Lineage: Eukaryota; Metazoa; Chordata; Actinopteri; Blenniiformes; Blenniidae. The transcript has 3 exons.
CAAUCAGACGACACCAGGGCGUACGUGCCUGUGAGCUUCCGGUUUUUCUCUCUCUCUGUCUGCCGCAUCGUGUUAGAGGCAGCGCUUGUUAGCUUCUGCUGCAGACUACGCCGGUUUUUUUGUCUAAAAGAGCCAGAUUUUCCAAGUCUAAGCCACUUUUAUGGUUGGAGCAAAGAGUGGAGCCCUUCUCUUUUCAUGGUAGAUGAGCGGACCGUGUGUUUAACAACGGAAACGGAGGAGAACCGUGGAUCCUGGACUGAUGAGAGCCCUGUAUUGUGCCUUGUGCCUGGAGUGUGUGUGAACUGUGAGCCUCUGGCCGGGUCUUUUUCUUUUCCUCGUCUUUUCCUUUUGUUUUAAUUCCCUUCUUUGUUAUGGACUCCUGUGCUGACCUUGAAGAAAUCUUCUACUGGGGACUCAUCUUGUGUCUGUAAGGUAACACGGGACCUCAGUGGUUGUGGCGGGCCAACCCAAGGAAAGAACCAGAGACUGAAAUUUUGAUAGAGACUGAUUUAUUUGUGGAUCGUGGUUGAUAUUUCAUUGUUGAAGAGCUGAAAAGCAGAGAAAUUAUUUUGUACAAUUUAUUUAUUUUUUUUCUUCUUCUUCAACCAUUCUUGUUCAAUACAAUUCAUUUAAAUACUUAUCUUUGAUGUGCGUGAAGUUCUUUAUUCCGUCACUCAUUGCAGUUUGUCAAGCCUCCCUUUCUCCUGUAGCGACCUAGAACCUUCUGAUACUGGUCCAAGAGGGAAUUGAUACACUGAUGAAAAAUA